UACGGGGGGAGCAAGCGUUGUUCGGAUUUACUGGGCGUAAAGGGCGCGUAGGCGGCCAGCACAAGUCAGUUGUGAAAUCUCCGAGCUUAACUCGGAAAGGUCAACUGAUACUGCGCGGCUAGAGUGCGGAAGGGGCAACUGGAAUUCUUGGUGUAGCGGUGAAAUGCGUAGAGAUCCGGAGGAACACCAGAGGCGAAGGCGGCCUACUGGGCUGCACCUGACGCUGAGCCGCGAAAGCCAGGGGAGCGAACGGG
This 254-nucleotide ribosomal RNA is filed under the name uncultured bacterium. RNAcentral describes it as "partial 16S ribosomal RNA". It matches the Rfam family "Bacterial small subunit ribosomal RNA", at positions 524 to 776 of the family's 1533-position model. The record is from RNAcentral.